UCGGGGUUUCGUACGUAGCAGAGCAGCUC
Molecule: non-coding RNA, 29 nt
Filed under: Gallus gallus (chicken)
Lineage: Eukaryota; Metazoa; Chordata; Aves; Galliformes; Phasianidae
Also listed under: 7 other names
Source: RNAcentral